UUUUCAGUCACUUUGCCGACGACGCAUCGAGUUUGGUGUUUUUUUCCUAGUGCGGCCGCAACUAAAUUAAAAUAGUCAACAAUAUUGUAAGAAAAUUUAAUAAAAACGCCAUAUUAUUGACUUGGAAUCGAUAAAGCAUGCGUACCAACAGCUGUUCAACUGCAUGAGCUAAAAAUCAGCUAAAUACAAUAAUAAAAAUAUUGGUAAAGCAAAUUAUAAUAGCUUCGUCUGCAUACUUACAUACAUAUGUAUGCAUGUGUGUAGUUGCACGUACCACAACAACAGAGGGGCAACCACAAGCACAACAACAACAGCAGAAGAAAAAGUAACUGAGAGAAAACAAUGCAGAACGCGCCACAAACGUGAAAGCAAAACGGAAUUAACAACAAAAAAAUCAAGCAAGAUUUUUCUACCAAUAAAAAUUACAUACAAAGAGACGAAAACACAGUUAUAUAUGUAUAAAUAGAUGCAUGUGUAUUGGCAUGCAACGAUAUUAACUACAAAGUCCUGCUGAUCACUAAGCCCAGAUGGAUAGCAGCGACGACGACGACAGCACCAAGUCGAUACCGCGGCCCAUCUAUGAGGCGACCUCGGCCAUUGAUAGCCCGCCUCCGACUCUGUGGGCAGGAACAACUGCCCAAGAGCGGGACGCAUUGCCCAAUAAGCGAUUGAAGUAUGUUGUCAGUUCUCCUCCGGACUCGGCCAAUGGCAGCAGUUCUUCCAACUCGAGCGCCUGGAAGGAGACAACCGCAGCGGCUGGGGGCCAUGCGUCGCUCACAAUGAAGCUGACCAAGGUGGCGCCACAUCAAGGCGAAACGAAGCCCACAAGCACAUCGACGCCCAAGCAGGAGGUGAAGGUGCGCGUGCCAAAGGAAAUGGUUGCCCUGCAGCGCUCUCACAAUGAGUCGAAAGUGCUGACCGGCUACGUCUCCGAUAGCGCCAAGAUUAAGCGCCGGAAGUCUCGCGCCAUUGCAGAGCAUCUAAUCAAGCAGUCUUCGACAGGUGGCAGCAGUCUGUCCAGCACACUACCCAGUUCGAGGAGCAGCACAAGAGUUAGAGGUAAGACGCUGAAGCGCAGCAAGAGCAUCCCCGCUCCAAUGUGGGAUUCUCUAGAGGAAUGGCAGCAGGCGACACAGCUGCCCAAAAAUCAGACAAAGAAGAGGCGCAACUAUUCGAUGGCUUGCGAUCCUGGCGAAGACACGUUGGCUGAUCUGAGCGCUAACGAGGAGACAGAGGAGGAGAGCAACAGCAGCCACCGGAGUCGAAUUCGUUCCCGCAGCAAGACCGUCUCGCUGAGUAGUGGCCAUAUGCGAUCUGAGCUCCAUCGAAUCGGUCCAUUGGAACAGGUAGAGGCAGAGGCAGAGGCAGAGGCGGACACGGACGGUGGAGAGUGGCGCACCAGCUCCACGGCGGAUACGGAUCCCAAUAUAUCCAUAUUCUCGGAUGCCACAGAUGACACCAAGAUAACGGGAUCGGUUGGUGGGGGCAGCGGCGAUGCACGCGAAGAACUGCAGAAAAGGCUCGACGAGAUUUGGCAGCCACCGCCAAGGAAUAACUGGGAUCCUUUCUGCUGGAAGUGCCGUGGCUGCGGCUCUCUGAUGCCCUGCUCCAAAUGCCUACGCUCCUUCCACGCCUACUGUGUGCGGCCUGCUUCUACGAAAUUCGACAGCUCCUGGAAAUGUCCUGAAUGUCUACUGAUCGAUAGCGCGCCCAAGCGGCCACGUCGCAAUGAUGUCUCCGUGGAUCUGCUCAGUCAGUUGCUCGCUUAUGCGCUGGAGCGCAUGAAGCUUGUGCGCGGGGUACACAAAUUGCGUGCACCACAGGAUGUACUGCCGGAUAGUUAUAGCAAAUACUUUGCCAAUCCGGUGAGCUUCGAAACCUUAGCAGAACGCAUCAAAAAUCACGCAUUUCACAGCGCCGACGAGUUUCUCAGCGAGGUGAAGUGGAUACAGCACAAUGCACUCAUUUUAGACUACGGAGAUGUGAAAGUGGAGCAAGCUUCUAAGGCAGUAGUCAAGGUCUGUCGGCAGGAGGCCAACGAGAUAGAUACCUGCGCCGAAUGCUAUUUGAAUGCCAACUCCAGUGACGAGUGGUUCGUGAAGGUGUGCACCCAGCCGCAUUUGCUGCUGUGGGCCAAGCUAAAAGGAUUUCCCUACUGGCCAGCCAAGGCUAUGGGCUGCGGUCCCAAUGCAGGCGUUAAUGUACGGUUUUUUGGGAAACACGAUCGCGCCAACGUGCCCGUUAAGGAUUGUUUUUUGUACUCCGCACAAGAUCCCAAUACGCAGACGAGCCGACGAUCUGCUCGCGAUCUGGCCGAGUGCAUUCGGGAGGUGGAGGUGCACAUUGAGCAUAUAAAGAAUAAAAUUGGCGCCUUCAACUAUGCUCCAUACCGUUUGCCCUACGACCCACAGGAGGAGCAACAGCAGCUGGAGAAAAUGAUGCCGGGCGUCAAUGAUGUCAUCAACAGGCAGUUGGCGCCUGCCAACAAGACGCCGCUGCAGUUCCUCAUACGCAAAACAGCCGGCGACAAAUUAUCAAUUGUGAAAAAGACGAAGGCAACCGAAUCGGGCAAUGAAUCUGAUCAGUCAGGUAGCCCCAUCAAAAAACCAAUCCACGAUGCUGAAUCCUCGUCGCCUCCAUCCACUAGCGAUCACCCGAAGCCGAAGAGCAGCAACUAUGAAGUGAUACCAAGAGCUGGCGAUGCGCUAAGAGAAUCUCGUGGGUGCACAGUGGUUCUUAAGCGCAAAUCCCUGGAGUCCUGCAAGACAUUAGCCAAGGUUUCGUCAACUGUCACCGGGGAGCAAGUGCCCAUAAUUAAACGCAAACACUCACAGAGUGAUGCCAGCAGCGAGACGAGCCAUCAUGGCAGCAGUUCAGAGCAGAGGCGACGGGCAAAGCACGCACGCAAAGCACCGGCAGACGAAUGCCAGGACGAUGAUGAGGAGGGGGAGGGGGAACAGGAGCCAACUGAAGGGGAAGCAGAACAGCUCAAAGUUGACAAUGAAACAUCAGCUCCAACCAUAACGGGCUCAACUGAAGCAAAUCAAGGGGUUGAGUCGGUGGUGGAACUGGUGCGCAGACGGCAAGGCGUAACCAUAACCAAGAUACCCAGGGAUCAACAACAGCAGCAGCAGCAACAAAUUCAACAACAGCAACAACAGCAGCAACCACAACAGCAACAACCACAGCAGAAGCAGCCGCAACCACAGCCGAUUCCUACCAAGCCGAAUGAGCCAGCAGCUGUUAAUGAGACCAUAGCAAGACAGCGUGCAGUGGAGCGACAGCAGCAACAGCUCAUCAGCAAGGUGGUGCCUUUUGUGGAGAUCAAAAAAGAGGUACUGUCUGAGCCAGAGGAAAAUGAGGAGGAAAAUGGGCGUCCAAGUGCAACUGCGACACAACCGAUGCCAGUAGAGGAGGAACAGCAGCAAGUACCAAUUGCACAGUCAGCGCCAGAGAUCAGCCCGCCGACUGCUGCACCACCCGCCCAACCCGAAGUUCCACGAGCUGCUGAAGCCAUUGAGCCAGUUAAGAUCAAGGAAGAGGUGCUCAGCGAGGAGGAAAUGGAAACGGAUCACAAUGAGCCUGCAAAGCCGUCUACAUUGCCCAAUCGAGAAGCGCAGCCUACCGCAAUCAACUCUGUUGAGGCCACACCCCCUCAAAACGUAGUUGCAGCAGCGCCUGAAACCUUUGUGCGCUUCGUAGGCGAUACCACUAUACAGAGAUUGAGUCAGAAACAGGCGCCCAAAGUCCCCGAAGCGACGGCAACUACGGCGACGACGAUGACGGCGGCUCAAACAGCAAAACGUGGCUCUUUGCGAGGCGUGCCUCAUGGUCCAUUACCAGCGGCAGCUCAGUCACCCGCCUCAACGCCACCACCGGCGCCGGCAUCACCUGCGCUGUCAGUCGCAUCCAUGUCGAGCAACAUUCAGCGACCAGUUCCACAAUCCUCGCCCAAGCUGCAACAGGCAGUGGGUCAGCCGUUGCGCGUGAAGACUGACAAAUCGUUGAAUGAGACAGCACCACAGUCCGUGCUAGCAUUGCCAGCUGCCACGCCCACCUCAAGCCUGCUCAAGUCCAACAUGGUGGUCAUACCCAUGGAACCGCGCAGCACCAACGGAGCUGGCGGCAGCAGCAUUGGCAGCAACAGUAGCAGCGCUUGCAAUCUCAACAAUGCCAGUCUGAUGAGCAUACCAGUGCCCCCGCUGAGAGCUGUCUCCAAGAAUACGCUGCAAUCCACAAAUGUGAUGACCUCGAUCACGGCUGUGCCGGUUCCAGCACCUGCGCCCACAUUUCCCAACAGCUCGCUGCCGCCGCCGCCACUGGCGGGGCUAACCACAGCGACAACGGCCACGAUUCGGCCAGUGGGCAGUGGCUCAGAGUCGGGUGGCCUGCUGGCCAGCGCUCUGAAUGGCCUGCCCAGUGAUACCCUGGUUAGUGAAUCCAUUCCGGCGGAACCUAUUACGCCGGGAUUGGCGACCGCUUUGAGCGAGUUGCUGUUGCGUCCUGGGCCACCCAAGCUGACGAUGCGGCCGUGCGGCCCACUGCAGUCAGAUGGUUCCAAUUUGUAUCCAGCACAAGCUGGACCACUGUCCACCAAACUGAAGGAGAAUGCGCACAAGAUUACGGACUACUUCAUCUCGGUCAUUGAGGACACUCUCAGCGAUCUAGCUGGAGGAGAGCCCAGUGUGCUGCAGGCCAAGAUUGCUGGCCUGACGCUGGAGAACGAGCGCAUGAAGCAGCACUACGAGCGGCAGAUUGCGGACUUGCAACGCUCCACAGAGAUGAUGAUCUCUGAGAUGCGCAAGACCAUGGAACAGGAGAACAAGCGGGUGAUUAAUGAACUGCGACAGCAUAGCACACUAGAGCGGAUGCGAGCCGUGGAGGAAGCCAAGAAGAAGCAAUGGUGCGCGAAUUGUAUGCGCGAGGCGCAGCUCUAUUGCUGCUGGAACACCUCCUACUGUGACUAUCCCUGCCAGCAGAUGCAUUGGCAGCGUCACUCCGCCACUUGUGGCCAAGCAUCCACGGUGCAGGCGCAGGCACAAACGCAGCCGCAGGUGCAGGUGCAGUCGUCGGUUCAGGUGCAGGUGCAGGCGCAACCCGAAAUAACAGGUCGUGGCAAGCACAAGCAAAUGGCCAGCACAACGCCUGCUUCCAGCCAGCAAUUAAAUCGAACUUCCGUUGUGGGCCCUCCCAACAAAAAGUGGACGCAUCAGCCGAUGAUAUCGCUGGUGAAUCCCGUACCGCCCGCCUCCACCGAGAUGCUCAAAUUGCCCAAUAACACUUUUCUGCGACCCGUCUCGCUGCCCUCCACAAUGCCUGCCCCGAACAGCAGCACCAUUGUCACUCCAGUCACCCUUAUCACACCCGCCACAACCAGUCAUCUGGGCAACACGAUCAUGACGACUCAGCGGAACAGUCAACUCAACUAUGCUGCAAAGCAAACGCAGCCGCAGCCGCUUCCCGUGCAGCGCUACAAUAUACCCUUGCCCAUCACAGUCAGCAGCAAUGCGCAGUUCGGACACAUCACGGAGCAGCAUCAGAAGCACGUGGCAAAGUCCACCAGUCGAGGCUCUCUCAAAGGCAACAGCCGUGCCCGCAAUGCAAACAAUCCCAUCAACAAUAUGAACAACAUGAACAAUAACAACAGCAACAACAACAACAACGCCCAGGCAAUGCGCCACAACCAAAUCAAUCACGGCUUUCAACAUUUUAUACAUGUAAUUCGUAUUGAGCAGUAAAGCUCUUCUUGUAUAAGCUUGCAGAGAGCAUUCCAGAAGGAAUUCCGUAUAUGUAAUUGUGAAAGCUCUAAUUAUAAUUUUGAUCGAGAUACGACGCCGAAUUGGGAUAAAACAUAGUUCAGUCUCUAUCACAAUGGUAUAGAUUGUCGAUUACAUGAAGUAACAAUUACUUCGAGUGCAGUUGAAGGGUCCGAGUGCUACAAACCUUAACACUAGCUGUAUACAUAUUGAUUAAAGAAUAACAAUUAAGAAAAAUUAGGAUUAACGCAAGAUUUAUUUUACUGACAUGUAUACAUAUAUAUAUAUAUAGAUAUAUAAAUAUAUUGCUGUAAUUUUAAUACAUGGCUCACAUAGCAUGUAAAGUAUAUAUAACCAUGAGAUGGACUUUUCUACUAAUAAUUACUAACUUCACCCAAUGGUCAACUAUUUUUUUUAGUUCUAAAUAUGUAGUUUAUAUUAUCAUAAGAUCAUCUAUCGGGAGUCUACGCCAACCGAAGGCAUCUGUACAUUCAUCGUAUGUAUCGACUCGUUAAGAAACCUUGAAAUCUAUAUAACUCUAAGUUCAUAAGUAACUAGAAUAUAGCUCUAAGCUGAAUAAAAUGAAGACAUGUUCCGACGAUCAUAUAA
This is an RNA transcript of Drosophila mojavensis, 6365 nucleotides long. It is a transcript of the gene named protein kinase C-binding protein 1, with no coding region annotated. NCBI's taxonomy places the organism in Eukaryota, Metazoa, Arthropoda, Insecta, Diptera, Drosophilidae. The transcript is spliced from 11 exons. The record is from RefSeq and is a predicted model, not a curated record.